CGAAGCCAGAACGWGAMRACGCKGGCGGCGUGCYUWACACAUGCAAGUCGAACGGUAACAGGUCCUUCGGGACGCUGACGAGUGGCGCACGGGUGAGUAACGCGUGGAUAUCUGCCUAUUAGUGGGGGACAACUACGGGAAACMGUAGCUAAUACCGCAUAAGCUCUACGGAGGAAAGCAGGGGACCCCUCGGGGCCUUGCGCUGAUAGAUGAGUCCGCGUCUGAUUAGCUAGUUGGUAGGGUAAUGGCUUACCAAGGCGAUGAUCAGUAACUGGUUUGAGAGGAUGAUCAGUCACACUGGAACUGAGACACGGUCCAGACUCCUACGGGAGGCAGCAGUGGGGAAUAUUGCACAAUGGGCGAAAGCCUGAUGCAGCGACGCCGCGUGCGGGAAGAAGGCCUUCGGGUUGUAAACCGCUUUCAAUUGGGAAGAAGAGAUGAGGGCUAAUAUCCCUCUGAUUUGACGGUACCUUUAGAAGAAGCACCGGCUAAUUUCGUGCCAGCAGCCGCGGUAAUACGAAAGGUGCAAGCGUUGUUCGGAUUUACUGGGCGUAAAGAGAUCGUAGGUGGUUUGUUAAGUCGGAUGUGAAAUCCCGGGGCUCAACCCCGGAACUGCAUUCGAUACUGGCAGGCUAGAGUUUGGGAGGGGUAAGCGGAAUUCCGUGUGUAGCAGUGAAAUGCGUAGAUAUACGGAGGAACACCUGAGGCGAAGGCGGCUUACUGGACCAAUACUGACACUGAGGAUCGAAAGCGUGGGUAGCAAACAGGAUUAGAUACCCUGGUAGUCCACGCCCUAAACGAUGUCAACUAGCCGUAGCGGGUAUCGACCCCUGCUGUGGCGAAGCUAACGCGAUAAGUUGACCGCCUGGGGGGAGUACGGUCGCAAKAUKRRCACCUCAAAUGAAUGCG
Molecule: ribosomal RNA, 909 nt
Filed under: uncultured Zetaproteobacteria bacterium
Lineage: Bacteria; Pseudomonadati; Pseudomonadota; Candidatius Mariprofundia
Description: bacterial SSU rRNA
Rfam family: Bacterial small subunit ribosomal RNA
Source: RNAcentral